GUCUAUAUACGUAUAGCAUAUCAAUAAGCGGAGGAAAAGAAACUAACUAGGAUUCCCUCAGUAACGGCGAGUGAAGCGGGAAGAGCUCAAAUUUGAAAUCUUCAAGGUUCUACCUUGACGAAUUGUAGUUUAAAGAAGUGUUUUCUGUUGGAAGUUUUGGUAAAAGUUCUUUGGAAAUAGGACAUCAAUAGAGGGUGAGAAUCCCGUAUUUGACCAUUAUUUCCAGCUUUGUGAUACACUUUCAAAGAGUCGGAUUGUUUGGGAAUGCAGUCCAAAAUGGGUGGUAAAUUUCAUCUAAAGCUAAAUACUGGCGAGAGACCGAUAGCGAACAAGUACCGUGAGGGAAAGAUGAAAAGAACUUUGAAAAGAGAGUUAAACAGUACGUGAAAUUGUCAAAAGGGAAGCGUUUGACACCAGUGUUGUUUUCUCGAAAAUCAAUUAAAAAUGGCUGGAUUUUGUGUUGUAUUGACCUUUAUCAAGCUUUCUUCACUUUUUUCCUGUCUUUUUUAAUGCACUUUUCGUUUAACAAGUCAACAUCAGUUUCUUUUGUUGUAAAAAGGGUCAUUGGAAGGUGGCUUUCUUUUCGGAGAAAGUGUUUAUAGCCUUUGACUUCUGCAAUCGGAGAGAUUGAGGUCUGCAGCGUAGAUCCUUCGGGGUUAGAUACAUUUGUGCUAAGCUAUAGCCUUUCAUAGACAACUUGUUGACUAUGAUCAGUCCAUGUAGCUUACUCGCUUAUGUUAUUUUACCUACGCUUAGGAUGUUGACGAUCAGCUGAGCGCG
RNAcentral lists this ribosomal RNA (780 nucleotides) under uncultured Neocallimastigales. RNAcentral describes it as "partial large subunit ribosomal RNA". It matches the Rfam family "Eukaryotic large subunit ribosomal RNA", at positions 27 to 634 of the family's 3401-position model. Lineage: Eukaryota; Fungi; Neocallimastigomycota; Neocallimastigomycetes; Neocallimastigales. The record is from RNAcentral.